GUCGGAAAGCGGCCUUCUGGGACUCCGCAAACUCCCGUUCUCCCUCCCCCCUCCCCCUUGCCAUUCCCUUUGCCUUCCGGGCGCCAAGUCUCUCUGGCCUCCAAGGUGAACCCAACUCCCCAGCGCGCCCCGGGUUCCCGGGUCGGGCCGGCUUCAGGCGGUGGGGAGCGGGAUCCCGGGCCCCGGGCGGGCGGGAGGGACGGGACGCGGUGCAGUGUUGUUUUUUCCCCCGCCAAUAUUGCACUCGUCCCGGCCUCCGGCCCCCCCGGCCCCCCGGCCUCCCCGCUACCCCUAGCGGGGCAGCCCCCGCCCUCCUGGCUCUCCAUCCCGGCGGAUCUUUGAUAGACUGGAGUGUCGCCGCUGCCACCGGCUUGCUGCCUCCACCUGGGCAAAGGCAACACCAGUCUAACGUGCUCUGGGUCCGCAGGCUUACCAUCUGAGUCCUUCUGAUUGGGAUUGGGUACCAGGCGGCAGUUAUCGGGACCAGGAGGCACAUAAUCUGGGAUGCCAUCAUUGUCAUCAUCCCCAUCACACUCAUCUCCAAGUCCAUCGUUAUCAGAGUCCAGCUGGGAGCUAUUUGGCAGCUGUGGGCAGUUGUCCUUGGUGUCCUGAUGCCCAUCCCCAUCGCUAAUCAGAAGAACAGGUUGGUGAAAGUCCCGAACUUUGUCUCCCCACCCAGAGGACAACUGGCCAGGAAAUCUGCCUGUUUCUUGUCUCACCCUCUAGUCCACACUCUGCCUAACACUACGCCCUACCUCACAUUCCUAUUGACAUCUGCUGCAGAUCACACCCUUGUGAUGGACAAACUGCUCAGUACAGUCCCACCCACCCAGCCUCCUUGUCCUGGGCACGAGGUUUUUGCCUCCCUGAUUUGGAGUAUUUGGCCCUUACUAGAGAGCUGCCAGAUGAGAACUCAGAGGCUCCUCCCGGCUCACCUGCAUCCUCAAAUACGCCUUCUGUCCAGUCCUAAUCUCCAGCCCAUCGACCUCCGCUGGAGGAAUGGGGGCCAGUGCUGGAAGGCCUGCAUGUUGGUCACCCAGUUUGCAGUCCACGUAGAGAUGUAGGGCAGGGCUGGGUCUGGAGGGACCUCGGAGUCGCAGGAGAACUGUGUGUGUGCGCCCAUCAGCCAGGCCCGCUUGCUGUAGGUUCACGGCGUGGACUUUGCCAUCCUCCCGCUGGUAUCGCACCAGUACUGCCCAGGAGGGGAGAUCAGUAUGGGCGCUAUCCCCCACCCCCUGCCUCCCAGCUGAGCCUUGGAUCAACUCUGCUAGAUACCACAUCUCUAGGGCCCCUAUCCCUAAUUCUACUAUGUGGCUCUCAACACCUUGUAUUUAAUAGGUACACAAUAAAUGUUUUUGAAAUUGC
Molecule: long non-coding RNA, 1365 nt
Filed under: Homo sapiens (human)
Lineage: Eukaryota; Metazoa; Chordata; Mammalia; Primates; Hominidae
Description: THBS3 antisense RNA 1
Source: RNAcentral